CGCAUACGUCCUACGGGAGAAAGCAGGGGAUCUUCGGACCUUGCGCUAAUAGAUGAGCCUAAGUCGGAUUAGCUAGUUGGUGGGGUAAAGGCCUACCAAGGCGACGAUCUGUAGCGGGUCUGAGAGGAUGAUCCGCCACACUGGGACUGAGACACGGCCCAGACUCCUACGGGAGGCAGCAGUGGGGAAUAUUGGACAAUGGGGGGAACCCUGAUCCAGCCAUAGGGCGCGUGCGAAGAAGGCCUUAUGGUUGUA
This 255-nucleotide ribosomal RNA is filed under the name uncultured bacterium. RNAcentral's name for it is "partial 16S ribosomal RNA". It matches the Rfam family "Bacterial small subunit ribosomal RNA", at positions 170 to 427 of the family's 1533-position model. The record is from RNAcentral.